CGCCCUUAGUUGCCAGCAUUUAGUUGGGCACUCUAAGGGGACUGCCGGUGAUAAGCCGAGAGGAAGGUGGGGAUGACGUCAAGUCCUCAUGGCCCUUACGGGGCUGGGCGUACACACGUGCUACAAUGGUGGUGACAUGGGCAGCGAGCACGCGAGUGUGAGCUAAUCUCCAAAAGCCAUCUCAGUUCGGAUUGCACUCUGCAACUCGAGUGCAUGAAGUUGGAAUCGCUAGUAAUCGCGGAUCAGCAUGCCGCGGUGAAUACGUUCCCGGGCCUU
This 276-nucleotide ribosomal RNA is filed under the name uncultured Rhizobiaceae bacterium. Its description in RNAcentral is "partial 16S ribosomal RNA". It matches the Rfam family "Bacterial small subunit ribosomal RNA", at positions 1106 to 1382 of the family's 1533-position model. Lineage: Bacteria; Pseudomonadati; Pseudomonadota; Alphaproteobacteria; Hyphomicrobiales; Rhizobiaceae. The record is from RNAcentral.